Long non-coding RNA from Tachyglossus aculeatus (Australian echidna), 196 nucleotides. RefSeq lists it as uncharacterized. The record is from RefSeq and is a predicted model, not a curated record. Lineage: Eukaryota; Metazoa; Chordata; Mammalia; Monotremata; Tachyglossidae. The transcript has 3 exons.
AGAACUAAAAAUGGCCAGAGGAGUAAUGUGGUUCAUCAGAUCUAUUAGGGGCAUGAAAUGCUGGAUCUCCAUUGCCUGAGUUUCAAGCCACACAAUAAAACAGAGUUUCUGUUCAAAUCAGGACUAGAGAUCAAAAUGUGAGUCAGGUUCAUUAAAGCUGCAAACAGAAACACCAGCUGGAGAUAGCAAUCUAGAG